This is an RNA transcript of Ziziphus jujuba (common jujube), 3390 nucleotides long. It is a transcript of the gene named septin and tuftelin-interacting protein 1 homolog 1, with no coding region annotated. The transcript has 4 exons. The record is from RefSeq and is a predicted model, not a curated record. Lineage: Eukaryota; Viridiplantae; Streptophyta; Magnoliopsida; Rosales; Rhamnaceae.
AAGAAUUUAUUUUUCUUUUUGUUUUUUGUUUUUAAGAAAAAAAAAGAAUAUUAACAACUGCUGCCCUUACCUUCCGAACGAAAGCUUCGACGACGCUGCCUCUGCAACUUCGUAAGGUCUCUCUCGCUCCUGCGCCGUUGUUUAGGUUUAGCGGCCAACACCCAAUCUCAAAACUCCGUCGAGCUGCCACUUUUUACGUAAAUAGCCAUGGAUGAAGACCAGGAAAUGGAGAGGUUUGGAAUGGAUAAUGAUUUUGAGGAUGCGCAAUGGAUUGGCGGUGAGUUUUACUACCGUAAGCGCAAGGACAAGCCGGUUCAGACCAAAGAGGAUGUCCUCUAUGGCGUUUUUGCUGGUGAUUCCGAUGAAGAAGACGACGACUAUGGGUAUUCCUCCAAGAAGCGACGCAAUCGAGGCCUUUCGCAGAAACCCGACCUCACCAAGCCUGUAAAUUUUGUUUCUACUAGCACAAUUAACAAUUCCAAGCAACAACCACAACAACAAGAUGAUGGUGAUAGAUAUCGUGAUAAUGAUGAUACCCAAGAGAGCCGUUCUGGUCUAGGUCUUGGUUUUGGGAAUGCUGGAAAUUCUGGAUUUGGUCUCGGAUUCAGUUCGGGGCCUUCAAAUGUAGAUGUAGUGGAGAAUGGGAAUGAUGAUGAUGAUGAUGAUGGUGAAGCUGAUGAUAGUAGUUUUUUGCCCACGGCUUUUGGUAGGAAGAUAAAGGAGGGAGCCCAAAAGAGAGAAAAGGAGAGGGAGAAGCUCAAAUUGCAAAACAAUUCUAAGUCUCAGUCUCAGGGGGGUAGACAGCAAUCCAGUUUUGGGGAUGUGGGGGUUUUUGAGAAGCACACCAAGGGGAUAGGGAUGAAGCUGCUUGAGAAAAUGGGGUAUAAAGGAGGUGGCCUUGGUAAGAAUGAGCAAGGUAUUGUCACCCCAGUUGAAGCUAAACUGAGGCCCAAGAAUAUGGGUAUGGGGUUUAAUGAUUACAAGGAGAGUGAAAAGUUGUCUGCCCUGAAAGAAUUGGAGGAGAUGAGGAACAACGCAAAGAAUAUGCUGGGUUCGACUCAGCAAUCAGCCGGAAGAGCUAAAGAACGGCUCUGGUCUAAGCGAGCAUUGGCGAAGAAGAAGAAUAAGGAAAGUUACAUUACUGCUGAGGAGUUGCUGGCCAAAAAGCAGGAAGAGGAUGGUGGGGAGGUUUUUGUUCAAAAGGUUUUGGAUAUGCGGGGACCCCAGGUUCGGGUCUUGACCAAUUUAGAGAAUUUGAAUGCUGAAGAGAAAGCUAAGGAAGAGGAUGUUCCUAUGCCUGAGCUUCAGUAUAAUCUGAAGUUGAUUUUGGAUAUGAUUGAGCUUGAGAUUCAGAAGCUCCAUAGGGAUUUGACAAAUGAACGAGAGACGGCAUUCAGCUUAAAAAAUGAGAAGGAAAGGUUGGAAAUUGUGGUGGGCGAACAGAAGAAGCAGUUGGAUGGUUUUGAUGAAAUCAGGACCAUACUGGACCGACUGAAGGAAGAGAAAUUAAAUGGAACCUUGACAUUAGACUCACUUGCAAAAUGCUUCAAUGACUUGCGGAGGAGAUGUAGGGAAGAGUAUAAGUUAUGCGAGUUGUCAUGGAUUGCAUGUGAGUUUGCAGUACCCUUGUUUAUUAGGAUGUUUCAGGGUUGGGACCCACUUCGAAACCCGUUGCAUGGUGUCGAGGUGGUAUCUUCAUGGAAGGCUUUGCUUCAGGAAGAGGAAUCCCUAGAUAUUUGGGAUUCAACGUCCUCUCCUUAUGCGCAGCUGCUUAUUGAGGUUGUGGUACCUGCCGUUAGAAUUUCCGGCAUUAAUACUUGGCAGCCUAGGGAUCCUGAACCAAUGCUCCGGUUUUUGGAUUCUUGGGAAAAGUUGCUGCCCUCUUCAAUCCUUCAUACUAUAUUGGAUGUAGUAGUAAUGCCAAAAUUGAAGAAAGCUGUGGACUCAUGGGAGCCACACCGAGAAACUGUUCCCAUCCAUGUAUGGGUGCAUCCGUGGCUACCAUUGUUGGGACACAAAUUGGAGGAGGUAUACCAGACAAUACGCUUCAAGUUGAGCAACAUUCUUGGCGCUUGGCAUCCAAGUGAUAGUUCUGCUCUAGCUAUACUAAAGCAUUGGAAGACUGUGUUUGACUCAGCCAGUUGGGAACAGCUUAUGCUGAGAUUUAUAGUUCCCAAGUUGCAGCUUGUCAUGCAAGAGUUCCAAGUGAACCCUGCAGACCAGAAGCUAGAUCAGUUUUGUUGGGUCAUUGAUUGGGUUUCUUAUGUUCCUACUCAUUUCAUUGUGGAUAUCAUGGACAAGUUCUUUUUCACAAAGUGGCUACAAGUUUUGUACCACUGGUUGUGUUCAAAUCCAAACUUUGAAGAGGUUUUGAAAUGGUACUCAGGUUGGAAGGAUCUUUUUCCCACCGAGCUUCAGGCAAAUGAAAAUAUCCGUUUUCAGCUUCAUCGUGGUCUUGAAAUGAUGGACCGGGCUGCUGAAGGCUUGGAGUUAGUCCAACCUGGUUUGAAAGAAAAUCUUAGCUACCUUAGGGUUCUUGAGCAAAGACAGUUUGAGGCUCAGCAGAAGGCAGCAGCACAUCUUCAACAGCAAGCUGGUGGACUCGACAUGAGCUUGAAAGAAGUUAUUGAGGCCCAUGCUCUACAGCACGGUUUGCUUUUCAAGCCUAAACCUGGGAGGAUGCACAAUGGGUUGCAGAUAUAUGGUUUUGGUAAUGUAAGCAUUAUAAUUGAUUCUCUAAAUCAAAAGGUUUAUGCCCAAACUGAGGAAGUUUGGUCCCUAGUAUCCCUUGAAAGGUUGCUGGAAUUGCACAAUAGUUCUCUUACAAGAAGACGCUGAGCUUUGGAGUAGCCUUUGUAUUCGUUCUCCAUAGAUCUAGAAGACAUAGGUUGCCUUAAUUCAUAUGCUCUUCAGCCUGUAAUGACCGAAAAGCCUGUAAUGACCUGAGUUCAUGGUGAUUGCAUGUGGAGACUUUAUCCUGGGUUUCCAACCUCGAGAAGCAUUUACGGACUGCAAUAUGCAAAUAUGGUACCCCUCUUUGAGAGUAGCUUAUUGGCUUAUUUGGAAAUGGAGAUGCUGUGCUGUAUUUGAUAAGCUUUUUAGUUGGCCAACUAAUGCUAGUAUUACUAUUAAGAGGUAUACCUGGGGAUAAGCAGGUUGUGAUGCAAAAUCAAGGAUGUGGUUCUCCUAAACAGAUCUAUUGGUUAGCUUGGAAAGCUUCUGUUGAAGGUGUUGUGAAAUUGAAUACCGAUGGCAGCUAUAAAAUGAGUUUGGGUGAUCUUCAUAUCAACCAUCCUUGUUUUAGUCUCAUAUCUAGUUGUAGAAAUGCUUUGUUGCAUAAUUUUGGCUCCUCGUUUGAUUACCAAUGGCAGCUAUAAUUUUGGUUUCAUA